UUCCCUGUGUCAUUUUUGUCUUUUAUUUUCCAUCAAAAUGUAGCUUCUGUGAGCCUUAAGAUGUUAGUUAGAUAGGACUGAUACCACAGAAUCACAGAAUGGCUGAGGCUGGCAAGGUCCCCAGGGUCCAUCAGCCCAAGCCCUGCUGAGCAGGGGCACCCAGAGCAGGGUGCCCAGGCCCAUGUCCAGGUGACUCUGUCAUCCGCACAGCACAGUCCCUGGUGUUCAGAGGGAUCCUGCUGUGUUCCUGUUUGUGCCAGUUUCCUCCUGCUCUGGCACUGAGCACCACUGACAAGAGCCCAGCUCCAUCUUUGCACCUUUCCUUCAGGUACUUGUGGAUGUUGAUGAGGUCGUUGAUGAGGACAUUGAAGAAGGCCCUGAGCCUUCUUUUCUCCAGGCUGAGCAACCAGCUCUCUCAGCCUCUCCUCACAGAAGAGGUGCUCCAGUCCUUUGUCAUCUUGGCUCCAAGUUGGACUCUUCCCACAGCGUCCAGAUCUCUCAUGCUGGAAAGGCCCAGGACUGGACCCAGCUCUCUAGAGACAGCCUCACAGCAGAGGGGAAGGAUCAUCUCCCUUGACCUGCUGCCGAUGCUUUGCCUCAUGAAGCCCAGGUCAUCGUCAUCCUCCUGUGCAGCAGGGGCACCUGGCUGGCUCUCAUUCAUAUCAUUUAUUAGACACAAGUAGGAAAGGAAACAUACCAGGCUUACUAAUUUCUCAAGGAAGAUAGGACCACAGACUUACUUAACCUUCCUUUUUCCUUGCGUUUGACACCUACUAUGAUUUUAAAGCAUGGAUUUUGGUGUUUGUUUCUGCAUCUUGUCACUUCAGGUUCCUCAGCACAGGCAGGAACUCAGCGCUUUUGGUCCCUGGGAUCUGAUUUUGUUACAGUUUCCUCCUUUGGCCACUUGCCAGAAAAUCACCUAGGAAACCCAUGUACCAGUUGCCAUGGUCACUUAGGAGAGAACACGUUUCCUUCUAUUGCACAGUGUAUUGGUACCAGGAAACCCACAAGCUUUUUGCCUGAGUGCAUAAAAAUUAAUGAGCAAGAAAGCGUUCACCUGGAGUUUGAUGUGAAAAGCACACUGGACUGCAAAAGCAGUGAUAGCUGGUUAAACUUACUGGGAUGUAAGUGGAGCCAGGUCACUGCCAAAGCACAGAAGGAUAUGAACAGAUCUGAGCUUAUUCUGCCCAAGCAGCUCUGUGAAAGAUCUGGGGACUGUUUCUCGCUACCUGGAAGCAGAGCUGGAGCCAGGCGGAGCGAGGCGCUCAGCCGGCGGGUGGCAGCACGGGCUCGGCGCUGA
RNAcentral lists this long non-coding RNA (1300 nucleotides) under Numida meleagris (helmeted guineafowl). RNAcentral describes it as "lncRNA (ENSNMEG00000011727.1)". Lineage: Eukaryota; Metazoa; Chordata; Aves; Galliformes; Numididae. The record is from RNAcentral.